This is an unclassified non-coding RNA of Vigna unguiculata (cowpea), 667 nucleotides long. NCBI's taxonomy places the organism in Eukaryota, Viridiplantae, Streptophyta, Magnoliopsida, Fabales, Fabaceae. The record is from RefSeq and is a predicted model, not a curated record.
ACUUACAAUUUUUUUAUUCAUAGGAGAUUUGUAAAAAAAAUAGAGAAAAUCGCAAAAAGCAAGUAAUUCCUCAUACCGGUGGUUCUAAACCUAUGUCAAGAAGAAGACAUGAGAUGUUUUUGGAAACUGGACAGCUGCCUAGUCGGGGAAAGUUAUACAUUGAUACUCAUAAAAGAAAGGAUGGAUCAUUUGUAAAUGAUGCGGCAAAGGCUAUAUCGUGUUAGGCCCAGAGCAUUUUGGGAGGGUGCGAUGCAUGGGUUUAGGAGCAGCUCCUACUAACUCAUUUAGAAAUACAAGAUUUCAACUUUCGGAUUUAAGCAUUGCUUCAUCUAGUGCUGCCACAUCAUCAACAUCUUCUGAUUAGUGGCAACAAAAGUACACUAAUUUAGAAUCCCAAAUUCAAACCACCUUGGGUGCACUAAAAGCCUACAUGAUAAUGAAGGAAGGAAAGAUCCCUGAUGAAUUAACUACCUUCUUUGAUCCUCAACCACAACAAACCGGUGAUGCAAAUGAGCCCGAGUCUUCUAUGGGUACAAGAGGAUCAUCUGGUGGUAGCAACAUUUAGGGUGUUGAUGAUGUUUUUUAGGAUGAAACUAUUUUAGUGUAUUAUGAACUUUGAGUAAGUAUGGAUUAAGUUGUAAUUGUUUCAAUUUAAAUUGCUUUUAUG